Molecule: ribosomal RNA, 253 nt
Filed under: uncultured bacterium
Lineage: Bacteria
Description: partial 16S ribosomal RNA
Rfam family: Bacterial small subunit ribosomal RNA
Source: RNAcentral
GACAGAGGUGCCAAGCGUUAGGCGGAAUCACUGGGCUUAAAGCGUGUGUAGGCGGAUCGUUAAGUACCUUGUGAAAUCCCACGGCUCAACCGUGGAACUGCUUGGCAUACUGGCGGUCUUGAGCAACCUAGGGGCGAGCGGAACAAAUGGUGGAGCGGUGAAAUGCGUAGAUAUCAUUUGGAACGCCAAUGGUGAAAACAGCUCGCUGGGGGUUUGCUGACGCUGAGACACGAAAGCCAGGGGAGCAAACGGG